CCUACGGGAGGCAGCAGUGGGGAAUAUUGGACAAUGGGCGAAAGCCUGAUCCAGCCAUGCCGCGUGUGUGAAGAAGGCCUUCGGGUUGUAAAGCACUUUCAGUGGGGAAGAAAGCCUUGGGGCUAAUACCCUCGAGGAAGGACAUCACCCACAGAAGAAGCACCGGCUAACUCCGUGCCAGCAGCCGCGGUAAUACGGAGGGUGCGAGCGUUAAUCGGAAUUACUGGGCGUAAAGCGCGCGUAGGCGGUCUGAUAAGCCGGUUGUGAAAGCCCCGGGCUCAACCUGGGAACGGCAUCCGGAACUGUCAGGCUAGAGUGCAGGAGAGGAAGGUAGAAUUCCCGGUGUAGCGGUGAAAUGCGUAGAGAUCGGGAGGAAUACCAGUGGCGAAGGCGGCCUUCUGGACUGACACUGACGCUGAGGUGCGAAAGCGUAGGUAGCAAACAGGAUUAGAUACCCCUGUAGUC
Molecule: ribosomal RNA, 465 nt
Filed under: Vreelandella stevensii
Lineage: Bacteria; Pseudomonadati; Pseudomonadota; Gammaproteobacteria; Oceanospirillales; Halomonadaceae
Description: partial 16S ribosomal RNA
Rfam family: Bacterial small subunit ribosomal RNA
Source: RNAcentral